AUGAGGACUAAUCUGUCUCUUACGGACCAACCAAUGAAAUUAAUCUUUCAGUACAAAAGCUGAAAUAAAAACAUAAGACGAGAAGACCUGUGGAGCUUCAAACCAAAAACACCCUGCAUGCUCCUCAGGUUUUUAGUUGGGGCGACUUCGGAGCACAAUAAAACCUCCAAAAUCUUUAUCUUCAAGAUUAACAAACCAAAAACUUUAUUAGACCCAGCAAUGUAUAACAUUGUCUGACCACUGAACCAAGUUACCCCAGGGAUAACAGCGCCAUCCCCUCCUAGAGUCCAUAUCAACAAGGGGGUUUACGACCUCGAUGUUGGAUC
RNAcentral lists this ribosomal RNA (326 nucleotides) under Zootoca vivipara (common lizard). RNAcentral describes it as "partial 16S ribosomal RNA". It matches the Rfam family "Bacterial large subunit ribosomal RNA", at positions 2004 to 2538 of the family's 2925-position model. Lineage: Eukaryota; Metazoa; Chordata; Lepidosauria; Squamata; Lacertidae. The record is from RNAcentral.